AGUGAACGCUGGCGGUAGGCCUAACACAUGCAAGUCGAACGGCAGCACAGUAAGAGCUUGCUCUUACGGGUGGCGAGUGGCGGACGGGUGAGGAAUACAUCGGAAUCUACUUUUUCGUGGGGGAUAACGUAGGGAAACUUACGCUAAUACCGCAUACGACCUACGGGUGAAAGCAGGGGAUCUUCGGACCUUGCGCGAUUGAAUGAGCCGAUGUCGGAUUAGCUAGUUGGCGGGGCAAAGGCCCACCAAGGCGACGAUCCGUAGCUGGUCUGAGAGGAUGAUCAGCCACACUGGAACUGAGACACGGUCCAGACUCCUACGGGAGGCAGCAGUGGGGAAUAUUGGACAAUGGGCGCAAGCCUGAUCCAGCCAUACCGCGUGGGUGAAGAAGGCCUUCGGGUUGUAAAGCCCUUUUGUUGGGAAAGAAAAGCAGCAGGUUAAUACCCCGCUGUUCUGACGGUACCCAAAGAAUAAGCACCGGCUAACUUCGCG
Molecule: ribosomal RNA, 492 nt
Filed under: uncultured bacterium
Lineage: Bacteria
Description: partial 16S ribosomal RNA
Rfam family: Bacterial small subunit ribosomal RNA
Source: RNAcentral